Molecule: long non-coding RNA, 1274 nt
Filed under: Vigna radiata
Lineage: Eukaryota; Viridiplantae; Streptophyta; Magnoliopsida; Fabales; Fabaceae
Description: long non-coding RNA (VRAD_LNC012044)
Source: RNAcentral
AUGACAAUUUAAAACUGCUUGAUGAAAUGCCAUAAUGAGCUGCAGAAAUUAUGUUUUUCUGGUUUUUAACUUAUGAACUGGAUUGCAGGGGAUUAAAUGUUUUUUUCUUGAUUGGUUUACACCUGGAUAUUGAUUUAAAUGUGUUUGGAACAAGAUGCCCCAGCUUUUUCCAAUCUAAUUAACAAUUGAAACUGAAAUGGUGAAACCAGCAAAGUGACGCUACUGCAGUAGUUAAAAUAAGUUGAAAAAUGGGAACUGCCGUGUUCAAACUGAGUGCUAUUGUGGUUAAUGCUCAAUUGAUAAUUCCAUCAAGUUUAAAUCAUCAUUUGCAAGGUGUGGAAUUAAUGAAACACGCAAGACACGGUCCAGAUCAAUAUUUCACUGGUGCACUACCCAAAAUUGGUUAAAAAUUGGUGUUUUGGCUUAUGUUUCUCGGGUAGAAGCACUACUGGACCAUAUGAGCCAUGAAAAUAGUGUUCAAAUCAGCAAAUAGACUUGUACAAACACUAAAACAGCACUGAAACAAUCAGCAACUCAAAUUCAAAGUGGCAAUUGUGAAUUAUGCAGAAUUAAAGAACUAAAAUUGCACCAUAAAGUGAAAAAAAAAAUGGCCAGAAAAAUUGGAACUGCAGUGGGUGAAUUCAGUGGUAGUGGUUAAAAGGAUUAAAUGACACCUCAAGCAACUUUAUAUCAUCAUAAUGGAUGUGUACAAACACAUAAUCAGCAAAGAAAUGUACUGCAACAGAAUAUGAUAGGUCCACUUCCUACUCUCAAGUAGAUUACGGGCUUUUGGUGGUGAAUUGGUGAAAUGGAUCAAAAUUGACCAAAUGAACAGUAAAGACCAACUUUGAUGCACCAAAUAUGUGUGUGGAAACAAUCAAAGUGGACCAAAAUUCACUGAAUCACAAUUUGACUUGUUAAGUUCCAAUUUUCAAGCAAACAUGGAAAGUCAAACUGUGAUUUUGCAGAUUUGAUGAGAAUGGACCAAACGAACAAUGGAAACAAGUUUUAAAUGUUCAAAUACACUUGCACAGACAUUAGAACAUCACAGAUAUGGAUAGAAUCACAAAAUGACUAUGCUAGUUGUGAAAAUAUGCAGCAAAUUUUAACAAAACUGCAACUGGAAUGAAAAUGCUAUAGAAUCAAUGCUAGAUGGAAUCAACAAACCUGUAUAGAAAGUCCUAACAACUAGAUCUAACUGUACAUGAUUAGCUAGAAGAAUUGCAAUAUCCUAAGAUUCACAAUGAAACAGUACGGUGCAAAACUAUAAAGAC